UUUGGUUUGGUUUGGUUUAACCAACUUGACACCCCUAUAUAUAACACGAGAGGAAUACAGGGGUGGAAUACAUUUUUGGGAUGCGAUUUUUGAAAUCCAAAAGCCGGCAGAAAAUAAAGAAAUCCCCGGAAGCUAAAGCCCGAUACUCGGGAAACACAAGAAAAUAUACUAAAGUCGAGAAGUAAAACUUUCUAUAAAUCACCAGGAAAGUCGGAGGAGAACAAUAAUCGCGGAAUUAAGAGCUCAAAGGUCGCGGACAAGAGGACCUACAACCGCAAAUGGAGAAGAGCCAAGGAUAGAGGAAACCGCGAAGACAUAACCCAACUAAAAACGAUUAUUCCGAACAUAAGAAGCAACGUCGUGAAUCUAAAUCCUAACCACCUAGUCUUCUAACGAACAAGUCUAAAUCUAGAACUUUGCAUUCCCACAAAAGGUUAGCCUUACAAGAACAGAAAGUAACAGACCACGAUAGAAAAACUACUUAUUAAACUAAACUAGAGGCGGUGGAAGGAGACAGACUUAAAAGAUUCAACGAACAAAUAGGAGAUAAUUCGAAAGCUAUCCAAAAUCAGCCACUACGACCAAUCCCCGGAGCUUUCUAGUGAUAACAGAGAGCAUAACAGAGAGCAGAACCAAGACCCAGCAAUUCAAAUAUUAAACCACCAGAACCUACCAACAACAACAAACCCAAAGCCAAAAAAUAAACAAACAUCUAAAAACAACCGAGAAUAGAAAGGCCUCGCAACAAGGGUUUGGUCAAAAAACCAAGGAGCCGCCGGAUGAGAAGAGGAGAAACGAGAGAACAGAGACCAAAGAUACCUAAGCUUCUGCACAAGAACGACGAAAAGGAGAAGUAGAUCUAUGAAUUGAUUUGAAGACCAAGCUCUAAUGCCACCGGAAGUCCCGUCGCACAUCUUCAGUUUCAAUAGAUCCGACCAAACCAGCACCACCGCUCACAGAUCUUGCUCUCCACAUGCCUCCAACUCUUCCACGCCGGAAAACAACUCACCCACACACGAGACGAUUUACCAUCACAGUAACAAGAAGCAAAAGGAGAAAAAGCUAAAUGGAUCUAAGUCGACUCCGGUGCUGUGUAAGCCACCGGAGCCGAACACGGCGGCCAGACCUAGUUUUGUUUUUUAGAGAGAAGUUCGAGAAAAGAGGAGAGAGGGGAGACCUUUUUUGUGCUCAUAUGAACAAAUGUUCGUAAUGUAUCUUCUUCU
Molecule: long non-coding RNA, 1223 nt
Filed under: Arabidopsis lyrata
Lineage: Eukaryota; Viridiplantae; Streptophyta; Magnoliopsida; Brassicales; Brassicaceae
Description: long non-coding RNA (ALYR_LNC001244)
Source: RNAcentral